This 486-nucleotide ribosomal RNA is filed under the name uncultured bacterium. RNAcentral's name for it is "partial 16S ribosomal RNA". It matches the Rfam family "Bacterial small subunit ribosomal RNA", at positions 30 to 507 of the family's 1533-position model. The record is from RNAcentral.
AUUGAACGCUGGCGGCAUGCCUUACACAUGCAAGUCGAACGGCAGCACGGGUGCUUGCCCCUGGUGGCGAGUGGCGAACGGGUGAGUAAUACAUCGGAACAUGUCCUGUAGUGGGGGAUAGCCCGGCGAAAGCCGGAUUAAUACCGCAUACGAUCUACGGAUGAAAGCGGGGGACCUUCGGGCCUCGCGCUAUAGGGUUGGCCGAUGGCUGAUUAGCUAGUUGGUGGGGUAAAGGCCUACCAAGGCGACGAUCAGUAGAUGGUCUGAGAGGACGACCAGCCACACUGGGACUGAGACACGGCCCAGAUUCCUACGGGAGGCAGCAGUGGGGAAUUUUGGACAAUGGGCGAAAGCCUGAUCCAGCAAUGCCGCGUGUGUGAAGAAGGCCUUCGGGUUGUAAAGCACUUUUGUCCGGAAAGAAAUCCUUGGCUCUAAUACAGUCGGGGGAUGACGGUACCGGAAGAAUAAGCACCGGCUAACUACGUG